Molecule: ribosomal RNA, 450 nt
Filed under: uncultured bacterium
Lineage: Bacteria
Description: partial 16S ribosomal RNA
Rfam family: Bacterial small subunit ribosomal RNA
Source: RNAcentral
GUGGGGAAUUUUGGACAAUGGGCGAAAGCCUGAUCCAGCAAUGCCGCGUGCAGGAUGAAGGCCCUCGGGUUGUAAACUGCUUUUGUACGGAACGAAAAGCCUGGGGCUAAUAUCCCCGGGUCAUGACGGUACCGUAAGAAUAAGCACCGGCUAACUACGUGCCAGCAGCCGCGGUAAUACGUAGGGUGCAAGCGUUAAUCGGAAUUACUGGGCGUAAAGCGUGCGCAGGCGGUUUUGUAAGACAGUGGUGUAAUCCCCGGGCUCAACCUGGGAACUGCCAUUGUGACUGCAUAGCUAGAGGACGGCAGAGGGGGAUGGAAUUCCGCGUGUAGCAGUGAAAUGCGUAGAUAUGCGGAGGAACACCGAUGGCGAAGGCAAUCCCCUGGGCCUGUACUGACGCUCAUGCACGAAAGCGUGGGGAGCAAACAGGAUUAGAUACCCGAGUAGUCC